CUGUGAAGAGGCAUACUUCAUUUACCUCAUUACACACUUUGUACGUUGCAUGUUAAAAAAAGAGUAAUUUGCAGAAUUCAAGUAGUAUCAAGACUGGAUUGUCUGAACUUUAAUAUAUGUCAUAACUCUCAAACAGCUCUUCAAGGAUACAAGCAGGCUUAAUUCUAAACUCAGUGGUGAAACGGAGGAUGUUGAAGUCAUUCAGGAAAAAAAUGAAUACUACAACUGAACUGAAAAAGUGAUUCAAGCACUGAAAUUACAUGAGGAAGUGAGAGAAGAUGGCAGUCAAGGACUGGAAUGUACAUUGAACACUCAAAAGGUUGCCGGAUACAUCAUGGAGAAUGAAUGAAAAUGCUGUGCCUAUUCAGAUGGAAAAAUAUGAAUAUCCACCCAGAUGGAACAUUUCAACAUUUCAAGCAAACGAUGAGAAAGGAGAAAAGGAAGAAAAAUGGAACUGGCCCAAUAAAGAGGUUA
Dromaius novaehollandiae (emu) is the source of this 474-nucleotide long non-coding RNA. RefSeq lists it as uncharacterized. The record is from RefSeq and is a predicted model, not a curated record. The transcript is spliced from 3 exons. Lineage: Eukaryota; Metazoa; Chordata; Aves; Casuariiformes; Dromaiidae.